RNAcentral lists this ribosomal RNA (209 nucleotides) under uncultured bacterium. RNAcentral's name for it is "partial 16S ribosomal RNA". It matches the Rfam family "Bacterial small subunit ribosomal RNA", at positions 568 to 774 of the family's 1533-position model. The record is from RNAcentral.
UGCGUAGGUGGUCGGGUAAGUCUGAUGUGAAAUCUCCGAGCUUAACUCGGAAAUGGCAUUGGAUACUAUUCGGCUAGAGGGUUGGGAGGGGGGACUGGAAUACUUGGUGUAGCAGUGAAAUGCGUAGAUAUCAAGUGGAACACCAGUGGCGAAGGCGAGUCCCUGGACAACUCCUGACACUGAGGCACGAAAAGCUAGGGGAGCAAACA